RNAcentral lists this microRNA precursor (90 nucleotides) under Canis lupus familiaris (dog). RNAcentral describes it as "mir-8799 microRNA precursor family". It matches the Rfam family "mir-8799 microRNA precursor family". RNAcentral also lists the same sequence under 1 other name. Lineage: Eukaryota; Metazoa; Chordata; Mammalia; Carnivora; Canidae. The record is from Rfam by way of RNAcentral.
GGGGGGAGGCCGGAUCCUGGACUGUGUCCCCGGUGCCCAGUGCUCCCGGGCCUGCGCUGUUGGAUUCGCGCUCUGGCUGCGCAGCCGCCU